RNAcentral lists this ribosomal RNA (443 nucleotides) under uncultured bacterium. RNAcentral describes it as "partial 16S ribosomal RNA". It matches the Rfam family "Bacterial small subunit ribosomal RNA", at positions 338 to 795 of the family's 1533-position model. The record is from RNAcentral.
CCUACGGGCGGCAGCAGGGGGGAAUAUUGGGCAAUGGGCGCAAGCCUGACCCAGCAACGCCGCGGGAAGGAAGAAGGCUGUCGGGUGGUAAACUUCUUUUCUGAGGGACGAAGAAAGUGACGGUACCCCAGGAAUAAGCCACGGCUAACUACGGGCCAGCAGCCGCGGUAAUACGUAGGGGGCAAGCGUUAUCCGGAUUUAUUGGGUGUAAAGGGCGUGGAGGCGGGAAAGCAAGUCAGAUGUGAAAACUCAGGGCUCAACCCUGAGCCUGCAUUUGAAACUGUUUUUCUUGAGUGCUGGGGAGGCAAUCGGAAUUCCGUGUGUAGCGGUGAAAUGCGUAGAUAUACGGAGGAACACCAGUGGCGAAGGCGGAUUGCUGGACAGUAACUGACGCUGAGGCGCGAAAGCGUGGGGAGCAAACAGGAUUAGAUACCCUAGUAGUC